Molecule: non-coding RNA, 885 nt
Organism: Paramisgurnus dabryanus
Lineage: Eukaryota; Metazoa; Chordata; Actinopteri; Cypriniformes; Cobitidae
Source: RefSeq, a predicted model, not a curated record
UUAAUUUUUCGUGGGUGCUUUUGUAAAUAUGUCUUAAUUUAAUGUUAUUGCACAGAACUGUUCAGUUUAAUUAUAUUAUUAUGGCUAACCUUAUGAAGCCUGUUGUUGUUUUAGGAACAGUAAUGAUACGAAUUGUUUAUUUAGCCUACUUAAAAAAUAAUUGUAGAAAAAGAACAUGUAUAGACAUUUUCACAGACAUUGUUAACAUAACUGUUACAUCUGCAUGUAAUUUGUAUAGAAAAAGCAGCUUUCUGGCAACAGAAAGUAAUAUAUAUAUUAAAGUAUAUAUUUUAAAGGUUCUAAUGUUUUUUGACAUUCCUUAUAUUUAUCUACUUAUGCAAGAGUUAUCCUUUUAUCUUAAUUUUUUUUUUAGAUAUUUUAGCAAGAGGGUUAUGUUUGUGUUUAAGCAGACACUGCAAGCAGGCUAAGCAUUUAUAGCUUGACAUGGCUGAAGUCAAUACCUCACCAAAAUUACAAUCAAUGUUUGGCUCAAAACUUGCCUAAUGGAAGUGUUUUCCCUUAUUUCUCUUUUUGUAUAGGCCCAUCAGAGUGAUUUCCUGAGUUCUCUCACACAUGGUCAGGGAAAUGGAUUAUCCAGUCACAGUACAUAAUGAAAGACUUGCCGAAGUUAGAAGAAGCUGAGUGAAUCUUCAGAGUGAUUGUUCAGAGAGAAGAUGUUAUGAUGUCUUACAAGAACCAAUGAAAUCUGGGAGACCUCAGAGUAUGUCCUUGCUGUGACUGUGCAAAAACAGCUAUGUUAUGCCCAUGAACGGAUUGGUGUUUAAAAGGGCCUGCGUUCAACAGUGUCUCUGUUUAAUGUGAAGAAAAUCCAUGGCAUUUGCACCAGAGGAGGAGCUUCAGUUACUGAAUAGUCCUAAACAAUGA